CCUACGGGUGGCAGCAGUGAGGAAUAUUGGUCAAUGGGCGCGAGCCUGAACCAGCCAAGUCGCGUGAGGGAUGACGGCCCUACGGGUUGUAAACCCCUUUUGCCGGGGAGCAACGGGCGCCACGUGUGGCGCCACUGAGAGUACCUGGCGAAAAAGCAUCGGCUAACUCCGUGCCAGCAGCCGCGGUAAUACGGGGGAUGCGAGCGUUAUCCGGAGUUAUUGGGUUAAAAGGGUGCGUAGGCGGAUCGUUAAGUCAGUGGUAAAUUUGAGGGGCUCAACCCCUUCGAGCCGUUGAUACUGGUUUGCUAGAGUGAGUGAGAGGUAUGCGGAAUGCGAGGUGUAGCGGUGAAAUGCAUAGAUAUCACGAAGAACUCCGAUGGCGAAGGCAGCAUACCGGCGCUCAACUGACGCUCAUGCACGAAAGUGUGGGUAGCGAACAGGAUUAGAUACCCCGGUAGUC
RNAcentral lists this ribosomal RNA (460 nucleotides) under uncultured bacterium. RNAcentral describes it as "partial 16S ribosomal RNA". It matches the Rfam family "Bacterial small subunit ribosomal RNA", at positions 338 to 795 of the family's 1533-position model. The record is from RNAcentral.